Molecule: non-coding RNA, 998 nt
Organism: Callithrix jacchus (white-tufted-ear marmoset)
Lineage: Eukaryota; Metazoa; Chordata; Mammalia; Primates; Cebidae
Source: RefSeq, a predicted model, not a curated record
GCUAGCGGGCUCGGAAAGCCCUUCCUCUCUGGAGCGGAAGCGGAGAAGCUGGGGCGCGCACUCCCUGAGCUAGGGUAGCCGGGGUGACCCGAGGCCACGGAAAGGGGCCCGCAGGGAGAAACGCGCCGGCGCUCGCGUGACCUCCUGCCAUUAGAGCACUUUCGCAGGAGCCGGAGCGAAAGGGACCAGUUUAGUUAGCAGUUCACCUUCACGUUGUAUUCUCGAUUCGUACCGAGUAGGCACUUGGUAAAUGCUAAGUGAAUGUUGUAAUAGCAUUCGUUAGCGAUGCCUUUUACUUGUGUAUGGUAAAAACCUGCAGCUGUAGAAAGCCUUCCUUUGCCAAGCACUGAUCCCAGCAUUUUACAUCUGGUAACUAAAUCUAUUGUCUCAAUAACCUUUGAGUGAGGACAACAGUGCCUGUGGGCCAAAUUUUGGAGGCUACAGUUUGAUGCCUCCCACAAAGUUCGCUAAGAGUUAGACAAGAAGACACAUAUAUUAUGUGAGGACCACUCAGACCCCCAGAACCGGCAUGAAUGUUACUUGGAACUGAAGACAUUUGAGAGCCAACAGAUGCAGAAAGAUGCCUUUUCAAAGUCUCCCAUAUGUGACUAACAGCAGAAAUUUCUGGGAGGGAAGCUGCCAUAAAUCUUCUCUCAAGGGGAGUUUUAGUGACCAGAAAAAAAGACAAAGACCUCUUGCACCUGCAAAAACAAACAUUCUUAUCUCCCAUUUGUUCCCCUAGAAACCUAUUUGUUCUUCCCAUAGAAGCCUUUUUGCUAAAACAAACAUUCUUAGCUCCCAUUUGUUUCCCUAAAGAUCGAUUUGUUCUUCUCACAGACCUGUCCUUUUCUCCUAUUAAAUGGUAUAUAUAAAGUAGAUUUAGAGGUUCAAGGAAAAAAAAAGUUGUAUAAAUGGCAAUUAAUAGCCUCCUAGAGUAACAUUUUUUUCCUGUGAACUCCUGCAUGCAUAUCUGAAUAAAAGUCUGUCUUUUGUUUGUU